AGGACGUUACAUAUAUUAACUCUUUACACACCACAACCCUAUAAGAUGGGUAGAGUUAUAACCCUUAUUUUUCAAAUGAGGAAAUGAAACAGAAAGACAUGAAGGGCAUCACUCUACAGAAGCCAAGGAUCUCUUCUCAACUGCAAACUCACUGAUGCUGAGACGGUCACUUCUCUUGUUAAGCCUCCAACUUUCCCUCAUCAUUAUGGGAGGGAGUUGGAAUUAGAUUAGUUCUCUCAACCCAGUUCUAACAUUCUGUGCAUCUGUGAGCCUAAGUAAGUGUUGAAUAUCUUUA
Molecule: long non-coding RNA, 295 nt
Filed under: Homo sapiens (human)
Lineage: Eukaryota; Metazoa; Chordata; Mammalia; Primates; Hominidae
Description: HSALNT0150812
Source: RNAcentral